AGAGUAAUGCACAAUUAUGCUUCCAACUAUAUUUUUCCUAGUUGAAAAAGUUCCUCCCAGACUCUGCUCUGCAACCUAUCUUCUUCCUCUGUUCAUUUUUUGUUCCUUACACAUCCACGCCAAUUCCAUUCAUCCAUGGUGUACAAGGCAAUCCUCUCGGCCUCUUAGUUACCUUUAUCGACGUCGUCGACCGCGCUACUGGGCCAUUCGGGGAGUUGCAGAGCCCUACCUAUGGGGAGAGAAGUAGCAGCAACAGCUUCUGCUCCUGUGCAGAAGACCCAGAUCUUCAACUUCAACCUUAAAAUCUGCUGCAACAGUUUCGGUCUCUGGUUCUCCAAAUCAAUUUUUAUUAAAUGCAAAAACAACAAUGAGGUCUGAAGCUGCUCCACUGCCUUAACUCGAUCCUCUCUUGAACCACGAGAUGUGCCUCGUUUGGCUGAGAAUUUCAUCACCUAUGAAGAUGCGGCAGUGUCUUUCCAUUUCUAGUGAUGUGUGUCAAUCCACCAAAUGUUGACAUGGUGGGGCAUACUGGUGAUAUUGAUGCUACAGUUGUGGCUUGCAAGGCUACUAAUGAGGCUAUCAAGAUGAUUCUUGAUGUAAUAAAGCAAGAGAGAGGAAUUUAUGUUGAAACUGCAUAAUCAUAUCUUGAAAAGUCAGUUACAAAUGUUAUGAUUGUUGUUAACAAUGAGGAGAACCCAAACACCGCAUUACAUGCACUGAGUUACUUUCAAUAGAGGUUGGAACCAAAUAAUGGCCCUUUGCAGGGAAUGAUUUCUGUGGGAAAGCUACUGCUUGUGAGGUACCUCACUGCUGCAUCUGUGUUGUCUUGGGCAAGCUGGGAUUGACUCACCAAGGGAAAUGAUCUUAAUGAAUAUUUUCUAGAGUCAAAAUUGUGUUAAAUUUUCAACCAUGUUUUCGGGUUGGAGUUAGUAGUUAUAAAGUGGAUGGAUAUGUAUAUAAUAUUGUUGAGGUGCUCUCAACCUAGAGGACAACGUUCUUUGAAGGGACGGCAAUGUAACAAGCCUAAUUAACUUGGGCUCAGCCCAAGCCCAUGGGCCACAUUUACCUUUUACUCUUACUUCUUUUUUCCCAUGUGUUUUUACUUUAGAUUAUUGUAUGGGCCUUUAGUUGUAACAGGUGAGCUUAGUUAACUAGUUUGCAGAUUGUGGUUUUAUUAUCUUGUUGCUACUUUUUAGCCCAAGCCCAGUACGUGGGUUAUAUGUACUGAGCAAAUUUGCUCUGAAGAUUUAUCGAAACAGUAUCAGAAAAUUUCAUUUUUCCUUC
Long non-coding RNA from Carya illinoinensis, 1284 nucleotides. RefSeq lists it as uncharacterized. The transcript has 2 exons. NCBI's taxonomy places the organism in Eukaryota, Viridiplantae, Streptophyta, Magnoliopsida, Fagales, Juglandaceae. The record is from RefSeq and is a predicted model, not a curated record.